This 147-nucleotide small RNA is filed under the name Marmota monax (woodchuck). The record is from RNAcentral. Lineage: Eukaryota; Metazoa; Chordata; Mammalia; Rodentia; Sciuridae.
GCCAGGCACAGUGGUGCAUGCUUGUAAUCCCAGUGGCUUGGGAGGCUGAGACAGGAGGAUUGCAAGUUCAAAGCCAGCCUUAGCAACUUAGUGAGUCUCUAAGCAAUUGAGUGAGGCCCUAAGCAACUUAGUGAAUCCCUGUCUCUA